GCGAUUUGGGCUACAACUUCCUGCUUUGGCCCAGCAGCAUGGGACUUCUUAUGCCUGAAGACUGGACCCUAAGAGUGGGACUUCCUAUCUCCCUCUUGUCUCAGGAGAUACAAACUGUCCUCUUGCACAGCAGUGUGACUCUGGGACUAGGAGAGCCACCUGCAGACAGGUGAAUGUGUUUGGCAUAAACUCAGAAGCCUCAUGUAGGACUUGCUGUUUAGCUCCAAGCUGAAAGGGGAGCCUGGCCACAGCAUCUGCAAAGGUCUGCUACCUUCUUCUGCCCCCAGGCCACAUCUCCUCAGCCUCCAAAGACUCCCAUUCAUCAUCCAACACGUCGGAUCUGCAUGUUUCCCAUAUCCAACUCCCUCCCCCAUCUCUUGAUUUCCUUUUUGCUUUGUUUUGUUUGACUCAAAAUCUCAUGUAGCCCAGGCUGGCUUCUGGCUUCCUAGAUAGCCUACACUGGGCCUGAACUAGUGUUUCUCCUGCCUCAGUCUCCUAAGUGCUGGAAUUCAUGCAAGAACCACCUCACCCAUUGCUUUCUGGUUUUUUUCUUUCCUCCUGUUUGUUUGCUUGUCUGUUUGUUUGUUUGUUUGUUUGGGGGAAAGGAUCUCAUAACACAGACCUUGCUGGCCUCACACUUCUCAGUCUCCUGCCUCAGCUUCCUGGGAGCUGAGAUGACAACCAUGGGCUACCAUGACUAUUCUCUAUGCCCUCUAAAAUUUUCUGUGGCUGUACAUAGUGUCUAGACAUCCUUCAGUCUGUGCAUUUUAACCAUUGGGGCCUGUGGUUUGGUCUCUGUCAACCCCUGUGACUUCUCUCCCACAAGCCUUCUGCCAAUCACACACACACACACCCUUCCCCCCCCUCCAGGCUUUCUCCCCAGAGUUUGCUCUACCUGAACAGUUCUCUUCCCCAUGUCAUUGAUUUAUCAAGGCUUGAAGUAGUCAUUACCACAUCAGAAGGACUUCCCCUCUUCCCCCAGUGCCCAGCUUCCCUCUCAUCCCGUAUAACGACUGAUAACUUCCCCUCUCUGAACUGAGAGCUCAGUGAGGCACACAUCACACUUAUCCCAGCAGAAACAGAGCCUGGCAUUCAAUAAAUUCUCAUGGACCGAUG
Molecule: long non-coding RNA, 1116 nt
Filed under: Rattus norvegicus (Norway rat)
Lineage: Eukaryota; Metazoa; Chordata; Mammalia; Rodentia; Muridae
Description: long non-coding RNA NONRATT002571
Source: RNAcentral